UACGGAGGGUGCAAGCGUUAUCCGGAUUCACUGGGCUUAAAGGGUGCGUAGGCGGCUUUGUAAGUCAGUGGUGAAAUACGGUAGCUUAACUAUCGAGGUGCCAUUGAUACUGCAGAGCUUGAGUACAGAUGAGGUAGGCGGAAUUGACGGUGUAGCGGUGAAAUGCUUAGAUAUCGUCAAGAACACCUAUAGCGAAGGCAGCUUACUAGGCUGUAACUGACGCUGAGGCACGAAAGUGUGGGGAUCAAACAGG
Molecule: ribosomal RNA, 253 nt
Filed under: uncultured bacterium
Lineage: Bacteria
Description: partial 16S ribosomal RNA
Rfam family: Bacterial small subunit ribosomal RNA
Source: RNAcentral